RNAcentral lists this ribosomal RNA (510 nucleotides) under fungal sp. Art4. RNAcentral describes it as "eukaryotic LSU rRNA". The stretch from base 149 to 302 matches the Rfam family "5.8S ribosomal RNA". Lineage: Eukaryota; Fungi. The record is from RNAcentral.
CGAGUUUACAACUCCCAAACCCCUGUGAACAUACCUUACUGUUGCCUCGGCGGAUCAGCCCGCUCCCGGUAAAACGGGACGGCCCGCCAGAGGACCCCUAAACUCUGUUUCUAUAUGUAACUUCUGAGUAAAACCAUAAAUAAAUCAAAACUUUCAACAACGGAUCUCUUGGUUCUGGCAUCGAUGAAGAACGCAGCAAAAUGCGAUAAGUAAUGUGAAUUGCAGAAUUCAGUGAAUCAUCGAAUCUUUGAACGCACAUUGCGCCCGCCAGUAUUCUGGCGGGCAUGCCUGUUCGAGCGUCAUUUCAACCCUCAAGCCCUCGGGUUUGGUGUUGGGGAUCGGCGAGCCUUUCUGGCAAGCCGGCCCCGAAAUCUAGUGGCGGUCUCGCUGCAGCCUCCAUUGCGUAGUAGUAAAACCCUCGCAACUGGAACGCGGCGCGGCCAAGCCGUUAAACCCCCAACUUCUGAAUGUUGACCUCGGAUCAGGUAGGAAUACCCGCUGAACUUAAGC